This 375-nucleotide unclassified non-coding RNA is filed under the name soil metagenome. RNAcentral describes it as "partial contains 5.8S ribosomal RNA, internal transcribed spacer 2, and large subunit ribosomal RNA". The stretch from base 1 to 120 matches the Rfam family "5.8S ribosomal RNA", at positions 35 to 154 of the family's 154-position model. The record is from RNAcentral.
GAUGAAGAACGCAGCGAAAUGCGAUAAGUAAUGUGAAUUGCAGAAUUCAGUGAAUCAUCGAAUCUUUGAACGCAUCUUGCGCUCCUUGGUAUUCUGAGGAGCAUGCCUGUUUGAGUGUCAUUAAAUUCUCAACUACACUGACUUUGAAUUGGUGUGGCUUGGAUUUGGGGGGAAAAUUGUUGUGGGCUUUUUGUAUAGUCUGCUCCCCUGAAAUUGAUUAGCGGUACCUUUGUGGAACUGUCUACAGGUGUGAUAAUUAUCUACAUCUUAGACAUCUGCUGGAAUGCUGCUCUCUAAACCUUACUUGUAUUGACAAUCUUGACCUCAAAUCAGGUAGGACUACCCGCUGAACUUAAGCAUAUCAAUAGCGGAGGA